RNAcentral lists this ribosomal RNA (387 nucleotides) under uncultured Leptospiraceae bacterium. RNAcentral describes it as "bacterial SSU rRNA". It matches the Rfam family "Bacterial small subunit ribosomal RNA", at positions 990 to 1382 of the family's 1533-position model. The record is from RNAcentral. Lineage: Bacteria; Pseudomonadati; Spirochaetota; Leptospiria; Leptospirales; Leptospiraceae.
CAUGACAGGUGUAGAGAUACACCCUCCGCAAGGCAUGUACAGAGGUGCUGCAUGGUUGUCGUCAGCUCGUGUCGUGAGAUGUUGGGUUAAGUCCCGCAACGAGCGCAACCCUACCCUUUGUUGCUACCAGAUAAUGCUGGGCACUCUAAGGGAACUGCCGGUGAUAAACCGGAGGAAGGUGGGGAUGACGUCAAAUCAUCAGGCCCUUAUGUCCAGGGCUACACACGUGCUACAAUGGCCGGUACAAAGCGUUGCAAACCUGCGAAGGGGAGCCAAUCGCAAAAAACCGGUCUCAGUUCAGAUUGCAGUCUGCAACUCGACUGCAUGAAGCUGGAAUCGCUAGUAAUCGUGGAUCAGAACGCCACGGUGAAUACGUUCCCGGGCCUU